Molecule: ribosomal RNA, 917 nt
Filed under: Kribbella sp. UA-VH0501
Lineage: Bacteria; Bacillati; Actinomycetota; Actinomycetes; Propionibacteriales; Kribbellaceae
Description: bacterial SSU rRNA
Rfam family: Bacterial small subunit ribosomal RNA
Source: RNAcentral
GUCGAGCGGUAAGGCCCUUUCGGGGGUACACGAGCGGCGAACGGGUGAGUAACACGUGAGCAACCUACCCUUCACUUCGGGAUAAGCCUCGGAAACGGGGUCUAAUACCGGAUAUCACUGACUGCUUCAUGGUGGUUGGUUGAAAGUUCUGGCGGUGGGGGAUGGGCUCGCGGCCUAUCAGCUUGUUGGUGGGGUAAUGGCCUACCAAGGCGUCGACGGGUAGCCGGCCUGAGAGGGCGACCGGCCACACUGGGACUGAGACACGGCCCAGACUCCUACGGGAGGCAGCAGUGGGGAAUAUUGCGCAAUGGACGAAAGUCUGACGCAGCAACGCCGCGUGAGGGAUGACGGCCUUCGGGUUGUAAACCUCUUUCACCCACGACGAAGCGAGAGUGACGGUAGUGGGAGAAGAAGGACCGGCCAACUACGUGCCAGCAGCCGCGGUAAUACGUAGGGUCCGAGCGUUGUCCGGAAUUAUUGGGCGUAAAGGGCUCGUAGGCGGUUCGUCACGUCGGGAGUGAAAACUCGGAGCUCAACUCCGAGCCUGCUUCCGAUACGGGCAGACUAGAGGUAGGCAGGGGAGAGCGGAACUCCUAGUGUAGCGGUGGAAUGCGCAGAUAUUAGGAAGAACACCGGUGGCGAAGGCGGCUCUCUGGGCCUUACCUGACGCUGAGGAGCGAAAGCGUGGGUAGCGAACAGGAUUAGAUACCCUGGUAGUCCACGCCGUAAACGUUGGGCGCUAGGUGUGGGGGACAUUCCACGUCCUCCGUGCCGCAGCUAACGCAUUAAGCGCCCCGCCUGGGGAGUACGGCCGCAAGGCUAAAACUCAAAGAAAUUGACGGGGGCCCGCACAAGCGGCGGAGCAUGCGGAUUAAUUCGAUGCAACGCGAAGACCUUACCUGGUUUGGACAUAUAGG